ACGAACGCUGGCGGCGUGCUUAGCCCAUGCAAGUCGAACGGAAAGGCCCUGCUUUUGUGGGGUGCUCGAGUGGCGAACGGGUGAGUAACACGUGAGUAACCUGCCCUUGACUUUGGGAUAACUUCAGGAAACUGGGGCUAAUACCGGAUAGGAGCUCCUGCUGCAUGGUGGGGGUUGGAAAGUUUCGGCGGUUGGGGAUGGACUCGCGGCUUAUCAGCUUGUUGGUGGGGUAGUGGCUUACCAAGGCUUUGACGGGUAGCCGGCCUGAGAGGGUGACCGGCCACAUUGGGACUGAGAUACGGCCCAGACUCCUACGGGAGGCAGCAGUGGGGAAUAUUGCACAAUGGGCGGAAGCCUGAUGCAGCAACGCCGCGUGCGGGAUGACGGCCUUCGGGUUGUAAACCGCUUUCGCCUGUGACGAAGCGUGAGUGACGGUAAUGGGUAAAGAAGCACCGGCUAACUACGUG
RNAcentral lists this ribosomal RNA (467 nucleotides) under uncultured bacterium. RNAcentral's name for it is "partial 16S ribosomal RNA". It matches the Rfam family "Bacterial small subunit ribosomal RNA", at positions 29 to 507 of the family's 1533-position model. The record is from RNAcentral.